RNAcentral lists this ribosomal RNA (1581 nucleotides) under Triticum aestivum (bread wheat). RNAcentral's name for it is "partial small subunit ribosomal RNA". The record is from RNAcentral. Lineage: Eukaryota; Viridiplantae; Streptophyta; Magnoliopsida; Poales; Poaceae.
AUGAUAUUAUCACCUCUUAGGCUUGCCAUGCUGCCUCCCAUGGAAGGGUGGCUACGCUUGUGCUUGGUAGCCCUAUUUACCCUACUAGCGAUUUGGCUCCUCAAGCUCAUCACUGGUGGAAAGUGCAGACCGGCUGCCAAGAAACAGCUGCCUCCUGGGCCAUGGACUCUCCCCGUCAUCGGCAGCCUCCACCACGUCGCCAGCGUCCUCCCCCACCGCACGCUGAUGGAGCUAUCUCGCCGGCACGGGCCGCUGAUGCUUCUCAGGCUAGGCGAGGCCCCCACCGUGAUCGUCUCCACCGCCGAGGCCGCCGCACUUGUUAUGAAGACCAACGACCUCGCGUUUGCGGGCCGACCGCAGAGCGCGACGUUGGACGUCUUCGGCUGCGGCGGCAAGGGGAUCGCCUUAGCACCCUAUGGUGACCACUGGCGCCAGAUGCUCAAGGUCUCCAUCGUGGAGCUUCUCAGUUCCAGGCAGGUGAAGCGCCUCGAGGGCAUCAGGGCCGAGGAGGUGGGCAACCUCCUCCGUUCCAUCACCGCCGCCGCCUCGAGUGGUGGCGCCACCAUCAACCUAAGCGAGAAGAUGACGGCGCUCAGCAACCACGUCGUCACGCGGGCGGUUUUCGGCGGCAAGUUCUCGCAGCAGGAGGAGUACCUCCGGGAGAUGGCCAAGGUGUUUGUGAUGAUGGGCGGCUUCUGUCUCGUCGACCUUUUCCCUUCGUCGCGGUUGGUGCGGUGGUUGAGCAAUGGUGAGCGUGACAUGAAGAAUAGCUGUGGCCGCAUGCACCACAUCAUCUCUGACAUCAUACAGGAGCGCAAGGCCGCGCGAGCUGCCGGCGUCGGCCCCGACGACGACAAGGAGGACCUGCUGGACGUGCUGCUCAGGCUGCAGAAGGACGACUCGCUGGAAUUCCCUCUAACCACAGAGAGCAUAAGUACCGUCUUGUUGGACAUAUUUGCAGGUGGCACAGAAACAACAGGAAGUACCUUGGCAUGGGCCAUGUCGGAGCUUGUGCGCAAUCCAGAAAUUAUGGCUAAGGCACAACAAGAAAUACAGGAGGUGGUAGGUGAAGACCGAGCUGUCAUUACUAACAGUGAUCUCACUAAACUCCGCUACACGGAGAUGGUCAUCAAGGAGGCCCUUAGGUUGCAUCCGCCCGUUCCUCUGAUCCCACGCGCGGCUAGAGAGGAUUGUACGGUUAUGGGUUUUGACAUACCUAAAGGCACCAAUGUUUACAUUAAUGUCGUCGCAAUUUCUCAAGAUCCUGAACACUGGAGCAGUCCUGCAGAGUUUAAGCCAGAGAGGUUUGAGAACAACCCAGUGAAUUACAAUGGAACAUAUCUCGAAUUCAUUCCCUUCGGCGCCGGGCGACGGCAAUGCCCCGGGACCCAGUUUGGCACGUCGCUCGUGGAGAUGGUGUUAACAAACAUUCUAUAUCACUUCGAUUGGAAGCUUCUUGAUGGGGCUAGCCUCGCUUCGUUUGACAUGUCCGAGAAAUUUGGGCUUACACUACACAGAAGGAAUGACCUGAAACUCAGAGCUACUCCACACGUGUUGUCCAAAGCUAUGCCGUUGGAGUGA